GAUGAACGCUAGCGGCAGGCCUAAUACAUGCAAGUCGAACGGGUGGUCGCAAGACCACUAGUGGCGCACGGGUGCGUAACGCGUAACCAACCUGCCCCGAUCUGGGGGAUAGCCCGCCGAAAGGCGGAUUAAUACCGCAUAUACCCGCAGCCUGGCAUCAGGCAACGGGGAAAGAUUUAUUGGAUCGGGAUGGGGUUGCGUGACAUUAGCUAGUUGGCGGGGUAAGGGCCCACCAAGGCGACGAUGUCUAGGGGACCUGAGAGGGUGAUCCCCCACACUGGAACUGAGAUACGGGCCAGACUCCUACGGGAGGCAGCAGUAGGGAAUAUUGGGCAAUGGGCGAGAGCCUGACCCAGCCAUGCCGCGUGCCGGAUGAAGGCCUUCUGGGUUGUAAACGGCUUUUCUCAGGGAAGAAAAAGACCUUGCGAGGUACACUGACGGUACCUGAGGAAUAAGCACCGGCUAACUCCGUG
Molecule: ribosomal RNA, 473 nt
Filed under: uncultured bacterium
Lineage: Bacteria
Description: partial 16S ribosomal RNA
Rfam family: Bacterial small subunit ribosomal RNA
Source: RNAcentral